RNAcentral lists this long non-coding RNA (1083 nucleotides) under Eucalyptus grandis. RNAcentral describes it as "long non-coding RNA (EGRA_LNC002096)". Lineage: Eukaryota; Viridiplantae; Streptophyta; Magnoliopsida; Myrtales; Myrtaceae. The record is from RNAcentral.
CUCAAACCCAGGUCAAUUCCUAUUCAGACAGAUCCUUCCUCUUUCAGACACACUAGAUGCAUCCCCCACCAAAAAAAAUACAGUAGAGAACUAAAAAAAAAGCUGGUCAAUUAACAACAUAUGGUCUUUCGGAACCACGAAGCAGAAAAGAUAACAAACCCCUCAAACCCAGGUCAAUUCCUAUUCAGACAGAUCCUUCCUCUUUCAGACACACUAGAAGCAUCCCCCACCAAAAAAAAAAAAAAAACCAGUAAAGAACUCGAAACAAAGCUGGUUAAUUAACAACAUAUGGCCUUUCAGAACCACGAAGCAGAAAAGCCCCAAUCCCAACUCUCUCUGCUGCUCCAAUUCGCAUUCGCCUUCUCUCUCUUGCGAAACAAAUCCCGUAUUACAUAAACUCAAGGCGAGAGAUAAGAUCUCAAAAUGUAGGGGAGCAAGCAGACAAUCAAAGCUUUAACGCCAAUUAGAGAAUGACCGAGAUUGGACUAGCCUCAUGCAUGACGGUUCUCGACCACCAAGUAACGAAUUGGUAAUCAUCUCUUAUGGUCGACGAGUCAAAGAAAAACAUGCAAAUCACACUAGAAUACUCUCAGAUUGACUGAUAACAGAAGCAAAUCAAUACUGGAAGUCACUUGGGCAAAACAUCGAACACCUGAUGGACAUGAAAUUCCAAGUGCUCGGGACAGAAUACUCAACAAAUUAUCGAUGAGUAUAGAGUGAGGUGUUCAUUUUAAACAUUACAAGACACAAAAUCGACGAAUCGGAGGACAGGCGUGCACUGAGACAUGCUCGGCCAAAACCAAAAUAGAGCAUAGGAGAGGGGAUACGUGGCCAGAGCCGUCACUGGUCGAGAUUGAUGAUCGCCCGAAGGAGAGAGAUCGUAAUGGACAGUAAAGACGGGACCUAGAACUGUCAAAGGGAGGGAGGAACAAAGACUGUACUUCAGCAGCGAUGGCUCUGAAAUAGGGGCGAACGGAGCCUCUUCACGGCCGCGGAACUGGUGGCGAUCGUGCGACUACCGGUGGUUGAAAUUAAUGGGCCUGUGGGUUUAAUGGGUUUGAUCUCUGGGCCGAGGCUUCCUCU